GUCUCCGUGGCGCAAUUGGUUAGCGCGUUCGACUGUUACCAGUUGGCAUCGAGAGGUUGACAGUUCAAUCCUGUCCGGGGACG
This 83-nucleotide transfer RNA is filed under the name Puccinia sorghi. It matches the Rfam family "tRNA". Rfam says of the family: Transfer RNA (tRNA) molecules are approximately 80 nucleotides in length. The record is from Rfam by way of RNAcentral. Lineage: Eukaryota; Fungi; Basidiomycota; Pucciniomycetes; Pucciniales; Pucciniaceae.